UGCCUGUCUACACUUGCUGUGCA
Molecule: non-coding RNA, 23 nt
Filed under: Callorhinchus milii (elephant shark)
Lineage: Eukaryota; Metazoa; Chordata; Chondrichthyes; Chimaeriformes; Callorhinchidae
Also listed under: 31 other names
Source: RNAcentral